RNAcentral lists this ribosomal RNA (497 nucleotides) under uncultured bacterium. RNAcentral's name for it is "partial 16S ribosomal RNA". It matches the Rfam family "Bacterial small subunit ribosomal RNA", at positions 28 to 507 of the family's 1533-position model. The record is from RNAcentral.
GAUGAACGCUGGCGGCGUGCCUAAUACAUGCAAGUCGAGCGAACGGACGAGAAGCUUGCUUCUCUGAUGUUAGCGGCGGACGGGUGAGUAACACGUGGAUAACCUACCUAUAAGACUGGGAUAACUUCGGGAAACCGGAGCUAAUACCGGAUAAUAUUUUGAACCGCAUGGUUCAAAAGUGAAAGACGGUCUUGCUGUCACUUAUAGAUGGAUCCGCGCUGCAUUAGCUAGUUGGUAAGGUAACGGCUUACCAAGGCAACGAUGCAUAGCCGACCUGAGAGGGUGAUCGGCCACACUGGAACUGAGACACGGUCCAGACUCCUACGGAAGGCAGCAGUAGGGAAUCUUCCGCAAUGAGCGAAAGCCUGACGGAGCAACGCCGCGUGAGUGAUGAAGGUCUUCGGAUCGUAAAACUCUGUUAUUAGGGAAGAACAUAUGUGUAAGUAACUGUGCACAUCUUGACGGUACCUAAUCAGAAAGCCACGGCUAACUACGUG